RNAcentral lists this ribosomal RNA (433 nucleotides) under uncultured bacterium. RNAcentral's name for it is "partial 16S ribosomal RNA". It matches the Rfam family "Bacterial small subunit ribosomal RNA", at positions 29 to 507 of the family's 1533-position model. The record is from RNAcentral.
AGCGAACGCUGGCGGCAGGCCUAACACAUGCAAGUCGAACGAACUCUUCGGAGUUAGUGGCGGACGGGUGAGUAACACGUGGGAACGUGCCUUUUGGUUCGGAAUAACUCAGGGAAACUUGUGCUAAUACCGAAUGUGCUCUUCGGGGGAAAGAUUUAUCGCCAUUAGAGCGGCCCGCGUCUGAUUAGCUAGUUGGUGAGGUAACGGGGCACCAAGGCGACGAUCAGUAGCUGGUCUGAGAGGAUGACCAGCCACACUGGGACUGAGACACGGCCCAGACUCCUACGGGAGGCAGCAGUGGGGAAUCUUGCGCAAUGGGCGAAAGCCUGACGCAGCCAUGCCGCGUGAAUGAUGAAGGUCUUAGGAUUGUAAAAUUCUUUCACCGGGGACGAUAAUGACGGUACCCGGAGAAGAAGCCCCGGCUAACUUCGUG